RNAcentral lists this long non-coding RNA (1153 nucleotides) under Nicotiana benthamiana. RNAcentral's name for it is "long non-coding RNA (NBEN_LNC010724)". The record is from RNAcentral. Lineage: Eukaryota; Viridiplantae; Streptophyta; Magnoliopsida; Solanales; Solanaceae.
AUUUGAUAUUGUAAAGCUAAAGAAGAAGAAUAGUUAUUUCGUCAAUUCUUUGAGAAAGGGAAUUUUAUCUCUAUAUCUAUUCAGAAUAAUCAGACUGGUAAUCGUCGUCAUCACAAUCUAGGUAGUUCAUUUCCUUCGCCGAUAACGAUGUCACCGUCGUCCUCCAUCUACAGGUUUGAUUCCACAAUUUCUGACUUCUGGUGGAUUCUAAAAUUCUAACAUAGUGUACAACAUAUGGUUUAAAAUAAUUUAUUACGUUCUUUUAGUGAUUUUAGCACAAUUCAUUGGUCGGCCAAAAAAACAUAUAAGUUUAGUUUUCCCCCUAUUUUUUCUUUUAAAAUACAAUAAUUUGUUUGCCAUUAGAGUAAGAAUUGUUUCUGAUUAUUUGAAUAACUGUUAACGAACAUCUAAAUCAAUAAGCUUACGAUUCGAAAUUAUUUAUCCUCCGCUCUCUCUGGCGCCCUUGUUUUACCAAAUUUAGAUUUUGGUCAAUUGUCGCCGAUUUUUUGGAUGGUCUAAAUUCCAAAAAAUACAAAAUAUUCGAACUUUCUUAUCUCUAUUUAAACGAAAAAUACAUAGAUUAUUGCUCCAGCUCGUCGCAAUCCAUCACCGCCGGCCUGAUUUUCUUUAACUUCAAGAGCUACAAUCUAGUUCUAUUAUUCCUCUCUUGUCUUAUUAUUUUAAUAGUUUGAUAUUUCAUUGUAACUGUAUUUCCUAGUCUGCCUUUUUUUAUUCUUGGAUCUUUAGUUAGUAUUUGCCUUAGUAUUGUCAAACUAUAUACAUUUGUGAUUGCUUUGACUACUUAUUUCUAUUGUAAUACACUUGUUCAUAUUUUUAUUUUGUAUCUUUAUUUUAAAUAUCCCUAGUAAUUCUGUUCUAGUUUUGCACAUUUUUUAUAACCUUUUGUUAUAGAUUACAGUACCUUGAUUUUAUUACUUCAUGUGUUUAUCUAACCUUUAGUUGUAAAUUAUAGUUCCCGUUAGUUAUUUUAUUUGAUUUCUUCACCUGUUUUGUGACCUUUAGUGGUAGAUUGUAUUUCAGUAAUUUAUUUUAUUUUUGUCACUUGUUUUUGGGAUAGUACUUAGACAAAAGGAGUUGCUCUGAUGGUAAGCAACCCCCACUUCCAACCGAGAGGUUGUGAGUUCGAGUCUCC